This 464-nucleotide ribosomal RNA is filed under the name uncultured bacterium. Its description in RNAcentral is "partial 16S ribosomal RNA". It matches the Rfam family "Bacterial small subunit ribosomal RNA", at positions 29 to 507 of the family's 1533-position model. The record is from RNAcentral.
ACGAACGCUGGCGGCGUGCUUCACACCUGCAAGUCGCACGGAAAGGCCCUGCUUGCAGGGUCCUCGAGUGGCGAACGGGUGAGUAACACGUGGGUGAUCUGCCCUGCACUUCGGGAUAAGCCUGGGAAACUGGGUCUAAUACCGGAUAGGAGCCAUUUUUAGUGUGAUGGUUGGAAAGUUUUUUCGGUGUAGGAUGAGCUCGCGGCCUAUCAGCUUGUUGGUGGGGUAAUGGCCUACCAAGGCGGCGACGGGUAGCCGGCCUGAGAGGGUGGACGGCCACAUUGGGACUGAGAUACGGCCCAGACUCCUACGGGAGGCAGCAGUGGGGAAUAUUGCACAAUGGGCGCAAGCCUGAUGCAGCGACGCCGCGUGGGGGAUGACGGCCUUCGGGUUGUAAACGCCUUUCGCUAGGGACGAAGCUUUUUGUGACGGUACCUAGAGAAGAAGCACCGGCUAACUACGUG